UAUAAUUUCCUGAAUGAGACGCACUUUCAAAAUCUACAGCCACCAUGACUCUACUGGUGCUGCUCGCUGUCUUCGUAGUCUUCAUUCAGGACUCAAGUUGUCAGAUUUCUGUGACUCAACCAUCAGCACCAAAGUCAGUUUCUCCUGGAGGGAGCGUCACCUUCAGCUGUACCACUGGAAGUAGCGUGGGUGGUGCCAUGGCCUGGUACCAGCAGAGACCUGGACAAACUCCUAAACUCCUGAUCUAUGAUACAAGCACUCGCUACAGUGGCACGCCGAGUCGCUUCAGUGGCAGCGGGUCAGGAACUUCAUACAGUUUGACUAUCAGUGGAGUCCAACCUGAAGACGCCGGUCACUACUUCUGUCAGCAGUAUAGCAGCUUACCACACAGUGAUUGA
Polypterus senegalus (gray bichir) is the source of this 398-nucleotide non-coding RNA. The record is from the annotation of a RefSeq genome assembly. NCBI's taxonomy places the organism in Eukaryota, Metazoa, Chordata, Cladistia, Polypteriformes, Polypteridae.